UACCUCGAAGUUCUGCUCUUUUGCUUGGCAUUAUUAGUCUUGUUUCUUCUAUUAGUUUAGGCGCUUCCUCGUGCGCGAGAUACUUACAUAUUAUGCACAACACAACUUUAACGGAAGCACUUUUGAGCCCCGUCGAGAGUUUUUCUAAGUUUCCGUUAAGCUUCAUUUUGAUUGGCUUCAGCGUUCUUUUCGUGUCCAUCAUGUACAGCGUGGAGCCUCUACGCUUGUCGGCUCGCGGAUUGGGCGAGCUUUGUGUUUCGUAUGUUCUGGUUUUUGCUACUCCUGCGCUUUCCUUUACCCUCUACGGCGGCGUUCUUGAUGAGCGUUUUUUUUCUUCUCUUCUUCCGCUAUUUAUUAUCAAUUGCGCUCGAAUGAUUGUGAUGAAUAUUCCCGAUAAAGAAGGAGACGAGCUAGGAGGAAAACAGACGAGCGUAGUUCUUCUAGGAGAAUCCAAAGCUCAGGACCUCAACACUUUUCUCUACCUCAUGACUUUUUUGUACGUCGUUCCUCUGCUACCCGCCAUGCCCUCUCACGUGCGUCUGGCCCACUUCUGCCUCGUGCCAUUCCGUUGGUGGCUCUCUCUUCAGCUAAACCGCCAUAAUUGGUGGAAGUGUGCUCCUUUUUUAGAGAAAUUCCCAUUUUAUGAAUCUUUAUUUGUUGUUUGUUCGGUAAUUUUUUUGAACAUCAGCCUCUUGGUUUUUAAUUUUUUAUAGAUUUAU
Molecule: long non-coding RNA, 719 nt
Organism: Zophobas morio
Lineage: Eukaryota; Metazoa; Arthropoda; Insecta; Coleoptera; Tenebrionidae
Exons: 4
Source: RefSeq, a predicted model, not a curated record